GUGGGAGCGGGCUUGCUCGCGAAUGCGGUAUGUCAGUUUGCACAUCUGCGUCUGAUACACCGCAUUCGCGAGCAAGCCCGCUCUCAC
Molecule: unclassified non-coding RNA, 87 nt
Filed under: Pseudomonas antarctica
Lineage: Bacteria; Pseudomonadati; Pseudomonadota; Gammaproteobacteria; Pseudomonadales; Pseudomonadaceae
Source: RNAcentral